CUCUGAUACCAUAUAGAGAAUGAGAAUAAUUUAUAUUUUUGUAUAUUGAACUUACAAUCAUGCAGUCUCUUAUAUAGAAAUUGAGACUAACUACAAUCCUAUAAUUAAGGAACAUUCAAAUUCAAAGUAAGCUGCUGGUAGAGGAUUAAGGAAUUGAUAAGUUCUCUGGAUUUGUCUCUGAUAUAUCCUCAUCUGAAAUAUCUGCCGAGUUGUUGGAUGUAACAGAUUUAUCAACCUGAUCUUCCACAAGUGGAAUAUAUAUCUUCAUGGCGU
RNAcentral lists this long non-coding RNA (273 nucleotides) under Olea europaea subsp. europaea. Lineage: Eukaryota; Viridiplantae; Streptophyta; Magnoliopsida; Lamiales; Oleaceae. The record is from RNAcentral.